RNAcentral lists this ribosomal RNA (700 nucleotides) under uncultured bacterium. Its description in RNAcentral is "bacterial SSU rRNA". It matches the Rfam family "Bacterial small subunit ribosomal RNA", at positions 55 to 775 of the family's 1533-position model. The record is from RNAcentral.
AUGCAGUCGUACGGUAAGCUUCGGCUUAUAGUGGCGAAAGGGAGAGUAACGCGUGGUUACAUGCCCUCGGGACCGGGAUAGCGGCGGGAAACUGCCGGUAAUACCGGAUAAUAUCUUUGGAUCAAAGGUGUGAUUCCGCCCGAGGAUUGGACCGCGUUCUAUUAGCUUGUUGGCGGGGUAAUGGCCCACCAAGGCGACGAUGGAUACCGGGUGUGAGAGCAUGGCCCGGCUCACUGGGACUGAGACACUGCCCAGACACCUACGGGUGGCUGCAGUCGAGAAUCUUCGGCAAUGGGGGCAACCCUGACCGAGCGACGCCGCGUGCGGGACGAAGGCCUUCGGGUUGUAAACCGCUGUCAGUUGGGAGGAAGUGCCGGGGGGUUCUCCCCUCGGUUUGACCGAUCUUCAGAGGAAGGACGGGCUAAGUUCGUGCCAGCAGCCGCGGUAAGACGAACCGUCCAAACGUUAUUCGGUAUCACUGGGCUUAAAGCGUGCGUAGGCGGCCUGGUAGGUGAGGUGUGAAAGCCCACGGCUCAACCGUGGAAUUGCGCUUCAAACCACCAGGCUGGAGGAUGGCAGGGGUGAUGGGAACUGAUGGUGGAGCGGUGAAAUGCGUUGAUAUCAUCAGGAACACCGGUGGCGAAGGCGCAUCACUGGGCCAUUUCUGACGCUGAGGCACGAAAGCUAGGGUAGCGAACGG